RNAcentral lists this long non-coding RNA (249 nucleotides) under Parus major (Great Tit). RNAcentral describes it as "lncRNA (ENSPMJG00000005426.1)". Lineage: Eukaryota; Metazoa; Chordata; Aves; Passeriformes; Paridae. The record is from RNAcentral.
AGGCACUCCUGGAAGGAACCCAAGAUGAUCUCCAGAAGUUGGAUUUAGACAAUGUUGACAUCCUGGAGACACCUCUGCCCCCUGUGGGUGAAAAGCUAGAGGGUCUUCUGCGGCAGAAGCGCCUGGCUGCCUCUCUCCAUGGAUAGGAUUGGAACUGUUGGUGAAAACCAUGUCCUGUCCCCCUCCAGUGGCAUGAGGAGAUGAUCAUUCCUGGAGGAAUUGCCUGAUCCCCUGUGAGCCCUGGGCCUU